AGCGCGCCUGCUUUGGGAGCAGGAUGUCGGGGGUUCGAAUCCCUCCAUCCCGACCA
RNAcentral lists this transfer RNA (56 nucleotides) under Halomonas sp. Its description in RNAcentral is "tRNA-Ser". It matches the Rfam family "tRNA", at positions 20 to 71 of the family's 71-position model. Rfam says of the family: Transfer RNA (tRNA) molecules are approximately 80 nucleotides in length. The record is from RNAcentral. Lineage: Bacteria; Pseudomonadati; Pseudomonadota; Gammaproteobacteria; Oceanospirillales; Halomonadaceae.